This 493-nucleotide ribosomal RNA is filed under the name uncultured bacterium. RNAcentral describes it as "partial 16S ribosomal RNA". It matches the Rfam family "Bacterial small subunit ribosomal RNA", at positions 28 to 507 of the family's 1533-position model. The record is from RNAcentral.
GACGAACGCUGGCGGCGUGCUUAACACAUGCAAGUCGAACGGUGAAGGGACCGGUUUUUGCUGGUUCUGGAUGAGUGGCGAACGGGUGAGUAACACGUGAGUAACCUGCCCCCUUCUUCUGGAUAACCGCAUGAAAGUGUGGCUAAUACGGGAUAUUCUGCGCCUGCUGCAUGGUGGGUGUGGGAAAGAUAUUGUUUCGGUGGGGGAUGGGCUCGCGGCCUAUCAGCUUGUUGGUGGGGUGAUGGCCUACCAAGGCGGUGACGGGUAGCCGGCCUGAGAGGGUGGACGGUCACACUGGGACUGAGAGACGGCCAAGACUCCUACGGGAGGCAGCAGUGGGGAAUAUUGCACAGUGGGCGCAAGCCUGAUGCAGCGACGCCGCGGGAGUGAUGGAGGCCUUCGGGUUGUAAACCUCUUUCGCCAGUGAAGCAGGCCUGUCCCUUUUGUGGGUGGGUUGACGGUAGCUGGAUAAGAAGCGCCGGCUAACUACGUG